UUGAUUUGUCUUAAGACAAAUUUGUCCAACCUUGAUCUAAUUUAUAAAAAAAUAUAACAAUAUUUAUAAUAUCAAAUAUAUGCACUAUCAAAGUAUAUUCCAUGGUUGAUUAAAUAAAACAAAUUUGGUAUUGUAGAUGUUGUUAUAUUUUUCUAUAAACUUGAUUAAACUUAAACAAGUUUGACUUAGGACAAACCAAA
This 200-nucleotide microRNA precursor is filed under the name Dichanthelium oligosanthes. RNAcentral's name for it is "MIR1435 microRNA precursor family". It matches the Rfam family "MIR1435 microRNA precursor family". Lineage: Eukaryota; Viridiplantae; Streptophyta; Magnoliopsida; Poales; Poaceae. The record is from Rfam by way of RNAcentral.